Molecule: non-coding RNA, 211 nt
Organism: Pelobates cultripes (western spadefoot toad)
Lineage: Eukaryota; Metazoa; Chordata; Amphibia; Anura; Pelobatidae
Source: the annotation of a GenBank genome assembly
GAACCGACAACCGAGACCACGAUGGAAAGGACCCAGGAUGACCCCACGGACACCACGCCUGGGGGUGUGGGGAGCUAGGAUGGGGACCUGGGCUCGGACCCCCUUCACCUACCCCUAACCGUUCACACCUCACCCCGCCUGACCCAACGUCUAACCCCCCUCCUCCACCUUUCACACCCCUGUCCUUCACUACCCCCCACACACCUUCUCC